ACUGGCAGGCUAGAGUCUUGUAGAGGGGGGUAGAAUUCCAGGUGUAGCGGUGAAAUGCGUAGAGAUCUGGAGGAAUACCGGUGGCGAAGGCGGCCCCCUGGACAAAGACUGACGCUCAGGUGCGAAAGCGUGGGGAGCAAACAGGAUUAGAUACCCUGGUAGUCCACGCCGUAAACGAUGUCGAUUUGGAGGUUGUGCCCUUGAGGCGUGGCUUCCGGAGCUAACGCGUUAAAUCGACCGCCUGGGGAGUACGGCCGCAAGGUUAAAACUCAAAUGAAUUGACGGGGGCCCGCACAAGCGGUGGAGCAUGUGGUUUAAUUCGAUG
This 325-nucleotide ribosomal RNA is filed under the name Klebsiella pneumoniae. RNAcentral's name for it is "bacterial SSU rRNA". It matches the Rfam family "Bacterial small subunit ribosomal RNA", at positions 632 to 956 of the family's 1533-position model. The record is from RNAcentral. Lineage: Bacteria; Pseudomonadati; Pseudomonadota; Gammaproteobacteria; Enterobacterales; Enterobacteriaceae.